AGGUGAGCCGGGACAGCCUUCUUCCUCCGCCCAGCCGCCACAGUGAUUGUCGUCAAGUCUGCCACAGGAGGAUAUUUUAUUCUGGGUUAACCUGCUUUUCUACUUCGCAGGUUGUUUAUCAAUAUUUGUGUAAUUUUAUUUACUCCUAGAAUUUUCGCAUGUGUUAGCAGUAAUUAUUUGAAUUUGGUCUGUAAUAUUAUUAUCAUGUUGGACCUGUAAACCUAAUAUUCUAUGCCUGUUUGAUGGAUUGGAUGAGGGAGCUGAGCUCCCAUUUCUUUUAUGAUGCUAUGAGUAUGUGGAGGGUGAGCUGAGCUCCCCAAUUGAGUAUUAUUAUGUUUACAGGUCGGGUGAGUCGAAAACUCCCCGUUGGGAA
Hevea brasiliensis (rubber tree) is the source of this 373-nucleotide long non-coding RNA. RefSeq lists it as uncharacterized. Lineage: Eukaryota; Viridiplantae; Streptophyta; Magnoliopsida; Malpighiales; Euphorbiaceae. The record is from RefSeq and is a predicted model, not a curated record. The transcript has 2 exons.